RNAcentral lists this long non-coding RNA (2968 nucleotides) under Sorghum bicolor (sorghum). RNAcentral's name for it is "long non-coding RNA (SBIC_LNC014652)". The record is from RNAcentral. Lineage: Eukaryota; Viridiplantae; Streptophyta; Magnoliopsida; Poales; Poaceae.
AGAAAUAUACAUAUAUCGCUUUUUGAUAAAUAUUUUUAUAAGAACAAAGAGUCAAAGUUUGUAUAAAAAGCUAUACUUAAUUUCUAGCAUUAAGAGUACCUUGUAUCAAUUUAAAUUGAGUAGUCGGUGCAAGUGCACGAGGGUGUGUAUCUAAUCAAACUCACGACUCGGACCACUAAUAUUUAUGCCACGUCCACCAACUACGUUUAUUUCAAAGUCAGUCGCUGUUGCUGCGCGUAAUGACGGAGCUAAUAACAAGUAGCGUACGUGCAGCCCUCCCAUCCUCCCAUUCCCAUAUCUACAGUAGUCCACAAGAAUCAUACAUGCAGGUCGUACGAAGCUAGACUGUAGAAAUCAGGUCGGCACGGAAUGUAGUAUCUCCCUAGAUAUAGAUAGCCGUCCAAAUCACGCUUGGAUGUAUAAGAGAAGACUCCAUGAAUAAUGGAAGCAUCAAGGCGAGAAAUUAAAGUCGGACAUUAAUAAUGAAGCUUGGCCCCACUUGGUGCCUUGCUCCACAUACUCUAUUCGAGUCCAAGUCAAAAUCUCCUUACCAUGGAGAACGAAGGACAGUUCCGUUCUCGAUCAAUUUAAUUAGCUGCCACGUAUAAGAGCAAGUACAACAAAUUGGUUUAUAACCAAAGCUAAUUGAUAUCUUUGGUGAUAUGGAAGAGAAAAAAAAUAAGAAAGAAGAGAGUUUGACUCUCAUACAUGUAACAAGCUGGGCACGUAAGUAUAUAAACACCAGUGGAUCCCGUGAUGUAAAUGAAAGCAAUAGAAAAGAGAGUAAAAACAUAUAAUAAUAAAGAAAUUUUGUAAAUAAAUAGAAAACAUAUAACCAAAUACUUGUCUCUAUUAUUGACCAUGCUGUGGCUAGCUAGCAGUCUUGGUGUUCUUCCAUGCAUUACUAUGAAAUCGAGUGUUCCUUGGAGAUCAGGUAAUCACGCUUGCAUCUCAUACACUAAUUAAGUGCAAUACUACCAAUAAUUUUACUAUCCUGCUUCCAGAGGAAAUCUUCUCUUCCCCGGUCCACAUCUGAUUUUUUUGGUCAAAAAAAUAUAACUAUAAACUCGGACGAGACAAAUCUCUUUCGUGCUCUAAUUUUAGUUAUUAUCAAUUGAGUAUAUGAUAGUCGCCAAAGAAAUCAAUUGAGUAUGAUACAUCUACACUAAAAGAAAAUAAAACAAGAUCGAGACAGUUGCUGAUAUAUUAAAAAGAAAUAACCUUUCAAUAACCACAUCAAAAAACAAAUUCAACAAAAAGGGAAAAAAAUUCUAAUCAGUCGGAUUGGAACAUCGAUACUAACCGCAUAAAACUGAAGCUCAACUCAAAAAAGAAGAACCACCGCCAACUCCAUCCCACAAGCAGAUCAGGACACUCCAGCCACGUAGCCCUUCCCACUAGCCCUUCCCACUAGUACAGGAAGGGGCUUUAGUCUCGGGCCGUAAGCGCCUUUAGUCCUGGCUACGGAACCGGGGCUAAGGUUUCAGCACUAAAUAUCCCACCUUUAGUCCCGGUUCCGUGGACCGGGACUAAAGGUCCACCUUUAGUUCCGGUUGGUAACAGCAACCGGGACUAAAAGGUGCGCCAGAGUGUGCCACUUGGCCUCCACUUUUAGUCCCGGUUGUUGCUACCAACCGGGACUAAAGACUUUUUUCUUUUUAUUUUUUUCUUUUUCUUUUCAUUUGGUUUUCCAUUUAGAUUUUACAAUUAUGUUAUUGUUAUUUUCGAAUGCGUAUUGUUUGCUGGUAGUUUAUGGAACGCGCACCUAUAAUUUAUAUAAUUUAAAGGAUUACAUAUAAAUAUACUAUAAAACACUAUAUAUAUAUAUAUAAAUAAUAUGUAUCUAUAGGUCCAUAAUAUAAUAUUUACACAUAUGCUUCACGGACAAAGUAUUUACAACACAAUUUAUCUCCGCCACUCAAGCAUCGUACAAAUGAUCAUCGUUAUUUGGUUUCAUCUGCUCCUGAGGGUUGAAGUAGCACUCGCCGCCGGGAUCCAGGACUUGGUCGUUAAGAAAUCCUACGAUUGCCUCUUGAAUUCCUUUUAGGCGCACCGUAUCCAACACCUGCUCCUUCAUCCACAUCUCCUUUAAUAGACAUUAAAGAAAAAAGUUAGAGGUGUGAAUAGGAUUUAUUAAAUAGCAACAAAUAAAUGAAAUAAACUUAUUAUAUAUACAUGUUACAUACUUUUAGGUGCUCAAGAUUAGUUCUUUUGGCAUACACCGUCAUAAACUCGCACACAUAGUAGCCACACAAAUUGUUGUCCGGUGUCUGCCGUAGAACCCACUGAAGUAAGAUGGGCUUUGAAAGUGCUUCAUUCAACUCUAGAUGGUGUUUCUGCACGAACCCAGCCCAAACCCUAGCAAUAAAACGAUCAUUAUUAAUUAUCCAUUACCAAGUUAAAAGAGCAGAAUUUAAUAUAUAGAGAUCGGAGUUACCCUUGAAUAAUAUCUAUCAUUUCAUGGUAAUCGUCCUGUGGUUUUCUCAAUGAGUCAUAGAUUACCAAUUGACAUUGCCAGAGAUCAAUGACAAUUAGUAUCCAAUGAAAGCUGCAUUUGUGUGCAUAUGUAGGCAAAAUUAGUAUAUAUCUUCAUAUUGAUCUGAUUAAUUAGUUAAAUAGAAUGUACACACGAUAACGACACUUACUUAAAGUUGUAGGGAAAGAGUAUAUAUCUUUUAUCUUUUUGGUUGAUCAAGAACCUCCAUAGAUUUCUCUCCGUUUGAGUUCUCCAUAAAACAUACGGGGUCUUGUGGUCUUUGAAUACAACAUUUGGAUCCACAAAUCCAAUCUCCUUGUCAUUUCUAACUCUGAGGUCCCUCAUCAUGUUUCUGCAUAUGUAUAGCGGGUUUUUGUAAUUAGUUAUAUAUAUACAUGAUAAGUUACAGAGACAUUAUUGAAAGGAAGAAUCACUUACAGACAGAAGCAACUCAUUAGAGAUUUGUCAAGAGCGUCCAUGUGGCAUAGUUGG